RNAcentral lists this ribosomal RNA (301 nucleotides) under uncultured bacterium. RNAcentral describes it as "partial 16S ribosomal RNA". It matches the Rfam family "Bacterial small subunit ribosomal RNA", at positions 509 to 807 of the family's 1533-position model. The record is from RNAcentral.
CAGUCGCCGCGGUAAUACGAAGGGGGCUAGCGUUGCCCGGAAUGACUGGGCGUAAAGGGCGCGUAGGCGGAUUGUUUAGUUAGGUGUGAAAUUCCUGGGCUUAACCUGGGGACUGCGCUUAAUACAGGCAGUCUAGAGUGAGGAAGAGGGUUGUGGAAUUCCCAGUGUAGAGGUGAAAUUCGUAGAUAUUGGGAAGAACACCGGUGGCGAAGGCGGCAACCUGGUCCUUGACUGACGCUGAGGCGCGAAAGCGUGGGGAGCAAACAGGAUUAGAUACCCGAGUAGUCCCUGUCUCUUAUAC